AAGGAUGUUUGCUAAUGUGGUUGGGUGGCUUUCUGUUUUUGGAAGGAGGAAGGUUUAUUCAGUCCAUCCUCCUGCCUCUCCCUGCACAAAAAAUGGUUCAUCCUUCAUUGGUAUGUUUGCAGCUAUGGAGGAGGUGAACGCAGAGACAACUGCGGGCUAGCUGCAGCUUCUGUUUGAGCAGAGGCGAUCGUUCCUUGCCGGAAUCGUAUUUCAGGUGAACCUCUCUGAAUUUUUCCACAUGUUUACAAGUAUCAGCCUGUGGUAUGCAGCUGCUCUGUUAGUUGUCUCUAUUAUUCUGAUGCCUCACCCCUUUUUUUGUUGCAAUUUUUUAGCUCUGCAUUGUAUAAUUGCUGCUAAUUCAAGUAUUGGAUUUUGUGCUUUACGGGAAACCACUUGAUCUGACCCCAAAACAGGAGAAAAUUAUGUAUAACAAGGCCAAUGAAAUCAAUGGUGGCCCCUGUUUCUAUCCCUAUUUCUCUGUCUGAAGCUGUUCUUUUAUUCAAUACAUAAGCAUCGACAGCUUACUAUUCCUAAAUUAGCUUCUAUGCAAUUUUAUUCAGAGUUUGUGAUCUGGAUGGAUCUGGAUGUUUGUGAUUUUUAUGAUCCAUUAUUACACUUCAUUUGAUGUUGAAUGCAUCUGAGGUUCCAUGCAAUAGAUUAAAACCUGAAUUUCUCAUCCACUGACAAUUUGGUAGAUGUUGAAUGGAUCUGGAUGAAGAGUUUGUGAUCUGGAGGGAUCUUGCUGUUUAUUUAGAUUAAAACUGAAGGGUAUACUUCAUUUGAAAUCUUACAUGCUAACAAUUCAG
Molecule: long non-coding RNA, 806 nt
Filed under: Triticum aestivum (bread wheat)
Lineage: Eukaryota; Viridiplantae; Streptophyta; Magnoliopsida; Poales; Poaceae
Description: long non-coding RNA (TAES_LNC024805)
Source: RNAcentral